AACGUAGGAGACAAACGUUAUCCGGAGUUACUGGGCGUAAAGGGCGUGUAGGUGGUUUCGUAAGUCUGGCGUGAAAUUUCUCGGCUUAACCGAGGCAGGUCGUCGGAUACUGCGGAACUAGAGGACGGUAGAGGCGUGUGGAAUUCCUGGUGUAGCGGUGAAAUGCGCAGAUAUCAGGAGGAACACCGGUGGCGAAGGCGGGUCUCUGGGCCGUAACUGACGCUGAGGAGCGAAAGCAUGGGGAGCGAACAGG
RNAcentral lists this ribosomal RNA (253 nucleotides) under uncultured bacterium. Its description in RNAcentral is "partial 16S ribosomal RNA". It matches the Rfam family "Bacterial small subunit ribosomal RNA", at positions 524 to 776 of the family's 1533-position model. The record is from RNAcentral.